RNAcentral lists this transfer RNA (70 nucleotides) under Aedes aegypti (yellow fever mosquito). It matches the Rfam family "tRNA". From Rfam's summary of the family: Transfer RNA (tRNA) molecules are approximately 80 nucleotides in length. The record is from Rfam by way of RNAcentral. Lineage: Eukaryota; Metazoa; Arthropoda; Insecta; Diptera; Culicidae.
GGGGAUGUAGAAGAGUUAUCUUCACGUCUGAUUGAUAAUCAGAUGGUCAUGAGUUCAACUCCCAUCCCCG